UGCCCCAUGGCUUAGUUGGCUAUAGCGUCCGACUGUUACUGCAAGCAAAAUCGGAAGGUCGAGAGUUCGAGCCUCUCUGGGGCAG
Molecule: non-coding RNA, 85 nt
Organism: Fomitopsis betulina (razor strop fungus)
Lineage: Eukaryota; Fungi; Basidiomycota; Agaricomycetes; Polyporales; Fomitopsidaceae
Source: the annotation of a GenBank genome assembly